GGAUUCCCUAUUUAAUAAAUGGUGCUGGGAAAACUGGCUAGCCAUAUGUAGAAAGCUGAAACUGGAUCCCUUCCUUACACCUUAUACAAAAAUUAAUUCAAGAUGGAUUAAAGACUUAAACAUUAGACCUAAAACCAUAAAAACCCUAGAAGAAAACCUAGGCAAUACCAUUCAGGACAUAGGCAUGGGCAAGAACUUCAUGU
Molecule: long non-coding RNA, 203 nt
Filed under: Homo sapiens (human)
Lineage: Eukaryota; Metazoa; Chordata; Mammalia; Primates; Hominidae
Description: LHRI_LNC1395.1
Source: RNAcentral